RNAcentral lists this ribosomal RNA (468 nucleotides) under uncultured bacterium. RNAcentral's name for it is "partial 16S ribosomal RNA". It matches the Rfam family "Bacterial small subunit ribosomal RNA", at positions 28 to 507 of the family's 1533-position model. The record is from RNAcentral.
GACGAACGCUGGCGGCGUGCUUAAUACAUGCAAGUAGAACGGAAAGGCCCUGCCUUUGUGGGGUGCUCGAGUGGCGAACGGGUGAGUAACACGUGAGUAACCUGCCCUUGACUUUGGGAUAACUUUAGGAAACUGGGGCUAAUACCGGAUAGGAGCUCCUGCUGCAUGGUGGUGGUUGGAAAGUUUCGGCGGCUGGGGUUGGACUCGCGGCUUAUCAGUUUGAUGGUGGGGUAGUGGCAUACCAAGGCCUUGACGAGUAGCCGGACUGAGAGGGUGACAGGCCACAGUGGGACUGGGGUGCGGCCCAGACUCCUACGGGAGGCAGCGGUGGAAAAUAGUGCACGAAGGGCGGAAGCCGUAUGCAGCAACGCCGCGUGCUGAAUGACGGCCUUCAGGUUAGAAACCGCUUUCGCCUGUGACGAAGCGUGAGUGACGGUAAUGGGUAAAGAAGCACCGGCUAACUACGUG